Molecule: ribosomal RNA, 375 nt
Filed under: uncultured organism
Description: partial 16S ribosomal RNA
Rfam family: Archaeal small subunit ribosomal RNA
Source: RNAcentral
CAGCACCUCAAGUGGUCAGGAUGAUUAUUGGGCCUAAAGCAUCCGUAGCCUGCUUUGUCAGUUUUCGGUUAAAUCCAUACGCUUAACGUAUGGGCUGCCGGGAAUACUGCAAAGCUAGGGAGUGGGAGAGGUAGACGGUACUCGGUAGGAAGGGGUAAAAUCCUUUGAUCUAUUGAUGACCACCUGUGGCGAAGGCGGUCUACCAGAACACGUCCGACGGUGAGGGAUGAAAGCUGGGGGAGCAAACCGGAUUAGAUACCCGGGUAGUCCCAGCUGUAAACUAUGCAAACUCGGUGAUGCAUUGGCUUGAUGCCCAAUGCAGUGCCGCAGGGAAGCCGUUAAGUUUGCCGCCUGGGAAGUACGUACGCAAGUAUG